RNAcentral lists this ribosomal RNA (287 nucleotides) under Cryomorphaceae bacterium. Its description in RNAcentral is "partial 23S ribosomal RNA". It matches the Rfam family "Bacterial large subunit ribosomal RNA", at positions 2623 to 2925 of the family's 2925-position model. Lineage: Bacteria; Pseudomonadati; Bacteroidota; Flavobacteriia; Flavobacteriales; Cryomorphaceae. The record is from RNAcentral.
GAGACAGUUCGGUCUCUAUCUGCUGUGGGCGUUGGAAAUUUGAGAGGAGCUGACUUUAGUACGAGAGGACCGAGUUGGACAGCCCUCUAGUGUACCUGUUGUUUCGCCAGAAGCAUUGCAGGGUAGCUACGGCUGGUUGGGAUAAGCACUGAAAGCAUAUAAGUGCGAAGCCCACCUCAAGAUGAGAUUUCCCUUAAGGGUCGUUCGAGAUGAGGACGUUGAUAGGCUUCAGGUGUAAAGGCAGUAAUGUCAUAGCCGAGAAGUACUAAUUACCCGUGGCUUUCUAA